AGCGAACGCUGGCGGCAUGCCUAACACAUGCAAGUCGAACGAGACCCCCUGACUUCGGUUGGCGGGUCUAGUGGCGCACGGGUGCGUAACGCGUGGGAAUCUGCCCUUGGGUUCGGAAUAACUCAGAGAAAUUUGAGCUAAUACCGGAUGAUGACGAAAGUCCAAAGAUUUAUCGCCCAGGGAUGAGCCCGCGUAAGAUUAGCUUGUUGGUGGGGUAAUGGCCUACCAAGGCGACGAUCUUUAGCUGGUCUGAGAGGAUGAUCAGCCAUACUGGGACUGAGACACGGCCCAGACUCCUACGGGAGGCAGCAGUGGGGAAUAUUGGACAAUGGGCGCAAGCCUGAUCCAGCAAUGCCGCGUGAGUGAUGAAGGCCUUAGGGUUGUAAAGCUCUUUUACCAGGGAUGAUAAUGACAGUACCUGGAGAAUAAGACUCCGGCUAACUCCGUGCCAGCAGCCGCGGUAAUGUACAGUGU
RNAcentral lists this ribosomal RNA (474 nucleotides) under uncultured bacterium. Its description in RNAcentral is "bacterial SSU rRNA". It matches the Rfam family "Bacterial small subunit ribosomal RNA", at positions 29 to 532 of the family's 1533-position model. The record is from RNAcentral.